This 353-nucleotide transfer-messenger RNA is filed under the name bacterium. Its description in RNAcentral is "JAAYTH01 sp012523785 Standard tmRNA". It matches the Rfam family "transfer-messenger RNA". From Rfam's summary of the family: Bacterial tmRNA, also known as 10Sa RNA or SsrA, is named for its dual tRNA and mRNA-like properties. Its role is to liberate the mRNA from a stalled ribosome. RNAcentral also lists the same sequence under 1 other name. The record is from RNAcentral.
GGGGGCGAGUCAGAUUCGACGAGGGUGAUAUAGGUAGGGGCGGCAGGUCGAGUCCCGCGGCUCGUAAAACCGUGGAACUGAUUUAAACGCAAACGAUAAUUACGCCCUAGCUGCUUAAAAAUAGCAGCUACAUCCGCCCGCACCCGGCCUGUGGGUACGGUAACGGGUGUCAUUUAAACAGGCUACUGCCCCAUCCUCGUCCGGCGAAGGGGUAGGAAACCUACGGACUAGUUCCCGGGGCAUCCAGCCGUUGGGAGUCUCCGGGGGCAAAAACAAAAACUGCGGCUAAACCUGUAGAAGCUCGUGCAAAUACACUUUCGGACGGGGGGUGCAACUCCCCCCCGCCUCCACCA